GUCCAUACAGUAAACGAUGGGCACUAGUCGUUGCGGGUCUUUACCCCCGCAGUGACGCAGCUAACGCGAUAAGUGCCCCGCCUGGGGAGUACGGCCGCAAGGUUAAAACUCAAAGGAAUUGACGGGGGCCCGCACAAGCAGUGGAGCAUGUGGUUCAAUUCGACGCAACGCGAAGAACCUUACCUGGGUUUGACAUGCCCCGGACCGCGGCAGAGAUGCCGUUUCGUAGCAAUACGCCGGGGACACAGGUGCUGCAUGGCUGUCGU
This 266-nucleotide ribosomal RNA is filed under the name uncultured bacterium. RNAcentral describes it as "partial 16S ribosomal RNA". It matches the Rfam family "Bacterial small subunit ribosomal RNA", at positions 793 to 1055 of the family's 1533-position model. The record is from RNAcentral.